Molecule: transfer RNA, 71 nt
Filed under: Sus scrofa (pig)
Lineage: Eukaryota; Metazoa; Chordata; Mammalia; Artiodactyla; Suidae
Rfam family: tRNA
About the family: Transfer RNA (tRNA) molecules are approximately 80 nucleotides in length. Their secondary structure includes four short double-helical elements and three loops (D, anti-codon, and T loops).
Source: Rfam by way of RNAcentral
UCCUAGUGGUCUAGUGGUUAGGCCUCAGCACUUUUACCGCUGAAGCCAGGGUUCAAUCCCUGGACUGGGAA